GCCGGGCAUAGUGGCGCAAAGCCUGUAAUCCUGGCAACCGGGGAGGCUGAGGCAGGAGGAUCACAAGGUCGAGGUCAGCCUCAACAAUUAGCAAGACCCUGUCUCAA
Molecule: small RNA, 107 nt
Filed under: Marmota monax (woodchuck)
Lineage: Eukaryota; Metazoa; Chordata; Mammalia; Rodentia; Sciuridae
Source: RNAcentral